Molecule: ribosomal RNA, 486 nt
Filed under: uncultured bacterium
Lineage: Bacteria
Description: bacterial SSU rRNA
Rfam family: Bacterial small subunit ribosomal RNA
Source: RNAcentral
GAUGAACGCUAGCGGGAGGCUUAACACAUGCAAGUCGAGGGGCAGCAUAGGGUAGCAAUACUCUGAUGGCGACCGGCAAACGGGUGAGUAACGCGUAUGCAACCUACCCUGUACAGGGGGAUAACCCGGAGAAAUUCGGACUAAUAUCCCGUAAUAAUAUCCGGAGGCAUCUUUGGAUAUUUAAAGUUCCGACGGUACGGGAUGGGCAUGCGUAACAUUAGCUGGUUGGUAAGGUAACGGCUUACCAAGGCUAUGAUGUUUAGGGGUCCUGAGAGGGUGGUCCCCCAACUGGUACUGAGACACGGACCAGACUCCUACGGGGAGCAGCAGUGAGGAAUAUUGGUCAAUGGGCGCAAGCCUGAACCAGCCAUCCCGCGUGCAGGAAGACGGCCCUAUCGGGUUGUAAACUGCUUUUCCAGGGAGAGAAACUUACGCACGUGUUGCGUGACUGACGGUACCUGGGAAUAAGCAUCGGCUAACUCCGUG